GGCAGAGAGAGCCCGGCCCCCGUGCGCAAGCAUGAGGAAAGUCCCCCCACCGUCCGGACAGGUGACCGGGCGCAAGCCCGGAGUCGGAGACGGCUGGCUCUGGAACAGAAACGAGACCACUCGACCCGACCGAUGAGGUGUGCGAACCCGAACGCAAGCGAGGGGAGUUAACCCACCGAGGGACGGGAGACACGACGUGUCUCCGAAAGGCGAGCGGCGUCAGCCGCGAGCAGGGAGACGCGACGCGUCUCGCAGACGGUCGAGAACGGAUGGAACGGCGAAUCCUCACCGGUGCAAGUCCGCCUCGUCAAGGUAGUCCGGACGCGGAGGUGGACGCUCAGCCGAAUGCCGGGAAGAACAGAAGGGGGCUUACUCCUCUCAGCC
RNAcentral lists this RNase P RNA (384 nucleotides) under Haloplanus aerogenes. RNAcentral's name for it is "RNase P RNA component". It matches the Rfam family "Archaeal RNase P". From Rfam's summary of the family: Ribonuclease P (RNase P) is a ubiquitous endoribonuclease, found in archaea, bacteria and eukarya as well as chloroplasts and mitochondria. Lineage: Archaea; Methanobacteriati; Methanobacteriota; Halobacteria; Halobacteriales; Haloferacaceae. The record is from RNAcentral.